GACGAACGCCGGCGGCGUGCUUAACACAUGCAAGUCGAACGGAAAGGCCCUGCUUUUGUGGGGUGCUCGAGUGGCGAACGGGUGAGUAACACGUGAGUAACCUGCCCUUGACUUUGGGAUAACUUCAGGAAACUGGGGCUAAUACCGGAUAGGAGCUCCUGCUGCAUGGUGGGGGUUGGAAAGUUUCGGCGGUUGGGGAUGGACUCGCGGCUUAUCAGCUUGUUGGUGGGGUAGUGGCUUACCAAGGCUUUGACGGGUAGCCGGCCUGAGAGGGUGACCGGCCACAUUGGGACUGAGAUACGGCCCAGACUCCUACGGGAGGCAGCAGUGGGGAAUAUUGCACAAUGGGCGGAAGCCUGAUGCAGCAACGCCGCGUGCGGGAUGACGGCCUUCGGGUUGUAAACCGCUUUCGCCUGUGACGAAGCGUGAGUGACGGUAAUGGGUAAAGAAGCACCGGCUAACUACGUGCCAGCAGCCGCGGUGAUACGUAGGGUGCGAGCGUUGUCCGGAUUUAUUGGGCGUAAAGGGCUCGUAGGUGGUUGAUCGCGUCGGAAGUGUAAUCUUGGGGCUUAACCCUGAGCGUGCUUUCGAUACGGGUUGACUUGAGGAAGGUAGGGGAGAAUGGAAUUCCUGGUGGAGCGGUGGAAUGCGCAGAUAUCAGGAGGAACACCAGUGGCGAAGGCGGUUCUCUGGGCCUUUCCUGACGCUGAGGAGCGAAAGCGUGGGGAGCGAACAGGCUUAGAUACCCUGGUAGUCCACGCUGUAAACGGUGGGUACUAGGUGUGGGGUCCAUUCCACGGGUUCCGUGCCGUAGCUAACGCUUUAAGUACCCCGCCUGGGGAGUACGGCCGCAAGGCUAAAACUCAAAGGAAUUGACGGGGCCCCGCACAAGCGGCGGAGCAUGCGGAUUAAUUCGAUGCAACGCGUAGAACCUUACCUGGGUUUGACAUGGAUCGGGAGCGCUCAGAGAUGGGUGUGCCUCUUUUGGGGUCGGUUCACAGGUGGUGCAUGGCUGUCGUCAGCUCGUGUCGUGAGAUGUUGGGUUAAGUCCCGCAACGAGCGCAACCCUUGUUCACUGUUGCCAGCACGUUAUGGUGGGGACUCAGUGGAGACCGCCGGGGUCAACUCGGAGGAAGGUGGGGAUGACGUCAAGUCAUCAUGCCCCUUAUGUCCAGGGCUUCACGCAUGCUACAAUGGCUGGUACAGAGAGUGGCGAGCCUGUGAGGGUGAGCGAAUCUCGGAAAGCCGGUCUCAGUUCGGAUUGGGGUCUGCAACUCGACCUCAUGAAGUCGGAGUCGCUAGUAAUCGCAGAUCAGCAACGCUGCGGUGAAUACGUUCCCGGG
This 1343-nucleotide ribosomal RNA is filed under the name uncultured bacterium. Its description in RNAcentral is "16S ribosomal RNA". It matches the Rfam family "Bacterial small subunit ribosomal RNA", at positions 28 to 1378 of the family's 1533-position model. The record is from RNAcentral.